Molecule: ribosomal RNA, 497 nt
Filed under: uncultured bacterium
Lineage: Bacteria
Description: partial 16S ribosomal RNA
Rfam family: Bacterial small subunit ribosomal RNA
Source: RNAcentral
GGGGGGGGGGGGGGGGGGGGGGGGGGGGGGGGGGGCGGGGGGGGGGCGGGGGGGCUGGGGGCUCGGGCGUGAGGGGCGGCGGGGGGGGGACCCCGGGGAUACCGUACCUGUGAGACGGGGAUGCCGUCGGGACACCGGGGCGACUCCCGGAUAUGUAUUUGAGUCGCAUGGUUCACUAUGGCAGGAGUGUUUUUCUUCCGCUACUAGGUGGCUCGGCGCCGCAUUAGCUAGUUGGUACGGUAACGGCUUACCAAGGCAACGAUGCGUAGCCGACCUGAGAGGGUGAUCGGCCACACUGGAACUGAGACACGGUCCAGACUCCUACGGGAGGCAGCAGUAGGGAAUCUUCCGCAAUGGGCGAAAGCCUGACGGAGCAACGCCGCGUGAGUGAUGAAGGUCUUCGGAUCGUAAAACUCUGUUAUUAGGGAAGAACAAAUGUGUAAGUAACUAUGCACGUCUUGACGGUACCGAAUCAGAAAGCCACGGCUAACUACGUG